Molecule: RNA transcript, 1999 nt
Organism: Papaver somniferum (opium poppy)
Lineage: Eukaryota; Viridiplantae; Streptophyta; Magnoliopsida; Ranunculales; Papaveraceae
Gene name: RNA-binding protein 24-A-like
Exons: 8
Source: RefSeq, a predicted model, not a curated record
AGGCAAACAAAACAAAAACAUAAUUUCCGAAGAGAAAAUGAAAAGAGAAAACAGAGGCCCUACCUCCUUCCUCCCACUCCUUUAACUUUGUUUCUUGAGAAUCUUCGAAGGGUAUUUCCUUCUAUACCUUGAAUAGAAAAACCAUAGCUGCUUCCAUAGAUUUUUUUUUCUAGGGAAAAAGAAAACUACCUUUUCUUUGAUAUAAUCUUCUUGAAAGUUCCAUUUCACACCGAUCCUAUUUUUCUUCUCCUCUUCUUCUUCUUCUGAAAAACCCAUGUUAGAUCCCCGUAAAUUAUCUUCUUCGAAUUUCACCUUAUAUACUUCCACGAAUCUAGCCUUUUCUUAGGGUUUCUCUGUGUAAAGAGGAACCCUAUUAUUUGUUGGGUUUGAUCACUGUCUUCCCUUUUCUAUUCUCCAAAUUCGAUUUCUGCUAGGCCUUUAUACGGGGAUUCUCUCUAUAACCAUGUAUAGUGUUUAUUGGGUUUAUUCUUGCAUAAUAUGAUUUCUGGGCGAAUUUGAUCUGAAUCUUUUUUUAGUGGAAGUAGGUAUUCUGAAAUUAGGUACUUGAAUUGUUCGAAUUUUCAUGGCUUAUCAAUCAAUUCCACGUCCUGGAUCAUCAGGAUCAAGUUCGAAUUCUGGGUUUCAGUUCUUGAAUUCUCCUUUUGGUGAUACUACUUACACGAAGGUUUUUGUUGGGGGAUUAGCAUGGGAAACACAAAGCGAAACGAUGCGUAGUUAUUUCGAGCCAUUUGGAGAGAUUCUUGAAGCUGUUGUGAUCAGUGAUAAGAAUACAGGGAGGUCAAAAGGCUAUGGUUUUGUGACUUUUCGUGAUCCUGAAGCUGCAAGGCAAGCAUGCGUUGAUCCAACUCCGAUUAUUGAUGGUAGACGGGCCAAUUGCAAUUUGGCUUCGCAGGGACGCCCUCCACCUUAUGGACGUUUAAGGCCAGUAACCCCGUACUUUGGAAGUGGACAAGGUUUGCGAGGCCCUUAUGCCGGAAACCCCAACUUUCAACAACCAGUUUCCUACAGCUACCAACAAGGCUUUCCAUAUCCACCAUAUGGGUACACAGCUUAUGGACCUGAAUACGUCUAUCCACAGGGUGUCUACAGCCCUUAUAUGGGACAGCAAGUCCUUCAAAUAUACGGAGUACCUGGUAAUACAGCUGUCUACCCGUAUGGCCAGUUAAGUCAGCAUCUUCCUGGUAAUCAUGGCUAUACAGCACUUCAGGGCUAUGCAAUGCCAGGUCACCACGUAAUGCAACUUAGCACGGCCACUGUCAGUGAAGCGGCCACAACACCCACUCCUUUAGUUCAAGGAUCAUAUCCCACAGGUAUGGUGGCUCCAGUUCCAGCACAACCACAUUUUAUGAUUCCUGUCCAGUCUCCGCGGUUCGCACAAGACAGCAAUGGUUCAGAUCGACGUCAAGUCGAGGGGUAGAUCAAAAUGACAAAUCACAUGUGGAGGUAUCCUGAAAAUCCAGCAAGACUAAGAGCAGCCUGCUACUUUGAGUGGCAGACUUCAAAUCUAGCCUUGCCGAUUAUCAUCUGUGCAUUGUAGAGGUCAUAUCGUAGUAGCAUUCUCUAGAGAUACCACAAAGUUAUGUUGAGUCAUUCACUCGUAGUAGCAUUGCUCUUUCAGCCAUUUACCAUUUUCUGUAAAUCCCCCUCCGUAUAUAUCAGCACUCUGCCGAAACUGGACCCUGCCGGGAGAGACAUUAGAACUGGUCUGGUGCUCGGAUCUGGGUUUCGAGCAUCCAUUGUAGAAAUUAAAACUCAGCUGUGUGUAAAUGCUUGCACAAAACAACAGAAUCAACAUAUGAUUCUUCUCCUUUUCAAUUAUCUGAGCCCAGAAUUUGGGUUGUACAGUAGUCACUUCUUACUAGUAGUGUUUUCUGUGUGGUGUCUGGGGCAAUCUUUGUACAUAAAUUAAUGUCAGAAGCUGAUUCUGAAGCUUUUAAAGAUAAUACAGUAUAACCUUCACAACUGCGUAAUUGCUUUA